This is a long non-coding RNA of Erinaceus europaeus (western European hedgehog), 3288 nucleotides long. RefSeq lists it as uncharacterized. The record is from RefSeq and is a predicted model, not a curated record. NCBI's taxonomy places the organism in Eukaryota, Metazoa, Chordata, Mammalia, Eulipotyphla, Erinaceidae. The transcript is spliced from 4 exons.
UCAGCUAUUAGGAGAAGCCCUUUUGGAGCAAGAGCAUGGACAGUCUCACAGAAAGCAGGACCGCUUCGGAGAAUCCAGCCAGAGUGGAAGGUGGGCAGGAAGGGAGUGUGUUGUUUGGAGGGAGGUUUUGUUUUGUUUCAGACAUCACCCAUUUGUAGGUAUGGAGCAUUUUAUGAAUACCAAAACUUUCUUCUGUCCGCAAUAAAACCGUUUCUGAUGAUAUUAUAGGUGAAUGAGAACCUUAUAUACUUAUUUCAGCAGUUUUGAGAUAUGAUUCACAUGCUGUACACUUUGCUCAUUAAAAGUAUACAAUUAUUUGUGGUCCAGGAGGUGGCGCAGUGGUAAAGCUUUGGACUCUCAAGCAUGAGGUCCUGAGUUUGAUCCCUGGCACCACGUGUGCCAGAAUGAUGUCUGGUUCUUUCUCUCUCCUCCUAUCUUUCUCAUAAAUAAAAUCUUUAAAAAAAAGUAUACCAUUAUUUAUGAUGACAUAUGGGAGUCAUGUGUUAUAAAUAACGUUUAAAGUAUGCAAACUCCUGAAGUAGAGUUUAUUUAUUUUAUUUUAUGUUCCUCCAGGGCUAUCGUUAGGGCUUGGUGCUGGCACUAGGAAUCCACUGCUUCUGGUGGCCAUUUGUCCACUUUUCUUUUUAAAUUGGAUAGGACAGAGAGAAAUUGAGAGAGGAGGGGGAGAUAGAGAGGGAAAGAGAUAGACACCUGCAGACCUGCUUCACCACUUGUGAAGCAUCCCCCCUGCAGGUGGGGAGUGGGAACUUGAACCUGGAUCCUUGCACAUGGUGAUAUGCGUACUUAACCAGGUGCACCACCACCCAGCCCCUGAAUAUAAAUGUACUAAAGAAAUUAAUUUAUCUUAUUAAUUUUAAAAAAUUGCCCCCAGGUUUAUCUCUGGGGCUUGGUGUCUCUGUGCCAGUUUUCCUUUUAAAAAUUAUUUUAUUUGCUGGAACAGAGAGAAAUUGAGAGGGAAGGGGGAAACAGAAAGUGAGAAGAUCAGAGAGACACCUGUAGAUUCACAGCUUGUGAAACUUCCCCUCCUCUCCCCCUACCCCUGCAGGUGGGGACCAGGGGCUUGAGCCUGGAUCCUUUUGCAUGAUGAGUUGUGUGUGUAACCAGGCAUACACUGCUUGGUCCACUAAACUUAUUAAGUAGUAUUAUUUUAGUUUUCAAAGUAAAACUGAUAAGCCUCUAUAGUAACUUUGAGUAGCAUCUCUUCUUUAAGGAAAAAAAAAAGUGAGAGAUGCCCACUUCUCUAGAAGUAGAAAUGGAAUUAUAAAGCUCCCACUCCCCUCUGUGGUGAUGGCAGGGUUAUUUUCAUGUCAUCAAUCCAUAAAUGAAUGAGGAUACUGAAGUUUAGAAGUAUGAAUUAAUGAGGUUCUAUACAUGUAUAGUGAAUAUUUUUUGAUGCAUUUCUUUUUUAAAGUUUUUUUAUAUUUAUUUUCCCUGUUGUUGCCCUUGUUUUUCUUUUUUAUUGUUGUUGUUGUUAUUGAUGUCGUCGUCGUUGUUGGAUAGGACAGAGAGAAAUGGAGAGAGGAGGGGAAGACAGAGAGGGGGAGAGUCACCUGUGAAGCAACUCCCCUGCAGGUGGGGAGCCAGGGGCUUGAAUCGGGAUGCUUAUGCCGGUUCUUUUGAUGCAUUUUUAUAUUUUUUGCUGUCAUCACUGGGCUUCACUGUUCUGAGAUAACUUUUUCAGAUAGAAAGACACAGACAGAGGCGGCCAGGUAGUAGUGCAGCAGGUUAAGCACACAUGGUGCAAAGUGCAAGGACUGGCAUAAGGAUCCAGGUUCCAGCCCCUGCAGGAGGGUCACUUCACUAUCUGUUUUUCCCUUUUUCGAUUUCUCGCUGUCCUAUUUAACAACAAUAACCAAAAAAAAAAAAAAAAAGGGCAACAAAAUGGGAAAAAUGGCCUCUAUGAGCAGUGGAUUCACAGUGCAGACACUGAGCCCCAGCAAUAACCCUGCAGGUAAAACAAACCAGAAUGGAAGAUACCAUCCCAGCACUAACACUUCCUCCAGUGCAGUGGAGACUCAGUUCAACAUGUGACAAAGCAGGUUCACUAAGUGAGCUGUUUUGAUGGCUAUGAAGGUUUUAUAAUUGGUGUAUGUAUGUGACUUUCAGUUAUAAGUAAGGAAGCCCUUUUCAUGGUAAUAUUUUGUUGGUGGUGAUAAUUAGGUUUUUCUGAAGGUGAUAAUCUUGCCCCUUCUCCUGGAUUCAAACUUCGAAGCAGUUGAGAAAGAACUAGGCUGCCAGAAACUGAACUAUCAGCUUUAUUACAGGUAAGACUGAUGGCAGCCCCAGAGUUUUUUUUUUUUUUUUGUAUUAUUAUUCUGAUUAAUUUCAGUGCCAGGGCUGGAACACUCAAAAGCCUCAUGUUCACAGAUGAGGGAGGCCAGAGGGUGCUCGACCUGGAAUGUUCCACAGCACUGGGAAUUCCGAGUCCUUUCAGUGUUGUCGAUUUGCUAAUGUGCGUUUUCCUUUUCCAGGGUCAUUUUGGAGCACAGAAUAGAUGCUCCAGCUCCAGCCAUCACACCUACAUUCUAGCCAAUGAAAAGGAAGAGGGCAUAGGGACACAUCACCAUUUGCCUGCUUUCACUAGCUCACUUGACCACCUCUGGCUAGUAAGGGUCCUAGGUUCACUCUCGGCACCACAUGGAGACAAAGGGAGUUCUGUGGAUGGUGGAAUGGUGCUUUCGUGUCUCUCCCUCUAAGUAUACACAACGGAAAAGCCAAGUCAGGGAGGCCACUUAGCAGAAUCACAUGAUCUGUGGCCUCUGUUCUGCUCCAUAGCCCAGGACCACAAACAUUAAAACAAAAGUAGCUGUGAAGAAAAGAUGAGAAGAUCCAGUAAAAAGUGAACUCUGGCUGCUGACAUCUCAGUGUUCAGUGUGGACUAUGCAGGCUACCUCAGUGGGUGGUGAGAAAGAGAGCUUCUGCAGGCCCCACACCUAUGGACAUCUAAUCUUUGACAAAGGUGCCCAUACUAUUAGGUGGGGAAAGCAGAGUCCCUUCAACAAAUGGUGUUGGAAACAAUGGGUUGAAACAUGCAGAAGAAUGAAACUGAAUCACUGUAUUUCACCAAACACAAAAGUAAAUUCCAAGUGGAUCAAGGACUUGGAUGUGAGACCACAAACUAUCAGAUACUUAGAGGAAAAUAUUGGUAGAACCCUUUUCCGCAUAAAUUUUAAAGACAUUUUCAAUGAAAUGAAUCCAAUUACAAAGAAGACUAAGGCAAGUAUAGACCUAUGGGACUACAUCAAAUUAAAAAGCUUUUUCACAGCA